Molecule: long non-coding RNA, 596 nt
Organism: Oryza brachyantha (malo sina)
Lineage: Eukaryota; Viridiplantae; Streptophyta; Magnoliopsida; Poales; Poaceae
Exons: 4
Source: RefSeq, a predicted model, not a curated record
UCUGUCGCCCACGCCGGAAGCCGCCUACACCGCCGGCCACAGGUAGAAGUUGAAUUUGCGGAUGGCGGCUCCUUCCAUCUGUCUGCUGAGUUUCUUAGAGUAUAUAGCCCAGCAGCUGAUAGCAAAAUCAGAUCAAUAGGUGCUGAGAAGGGUGCCAGGGUGGUAUACUGGUAUGGGAGGAUCUUUGUCCAAGCAUUUUCAGAGUGGAUCUGCAAAAUGUUUUGAUGUGUUGAGAUGAAAUCUUGAGAUAAAUUAAAUUUUGUUUGACAUAGAUUGUUUCAGGUUUUCUACCCGCCCAAGAAUGCUUGCCAACUGUCGCUCUCUCUUCCAUCUCUGUCUCUAUGACACUGAGACAGAUACUAAGUUUGUCCUCCACUGUCAGUCAACCCUGAGCUUUGCUCUUAGAUAUAUUUUAACUCAGUAUCUUUAGUGUAGUUUGCCAUAUCCAUGGACAUGAGCCAUGAUGUUAGUAGGCUGCAAUAUAUGCAUUAGGAAGUAUGUUGCCAUGUGAACUUUUGGUUUGUAAAUGUCCUAUAAAUUCAUAUGUUAUGAAUUAUCGUAAAGAUGUUUGGAAUGGUGCAAUGAAAUGACUAACA